AAUGACUCUCGGCAACGGAUAUCUCGGCUCUCGCAUCGAUGAAGAACGUAGCGAAAUGCGAUACUUGGUGUGAAUUGCAGAAUCCCGUGAACCAUCGAGUCUUUGAACGCAAGUUGCGCCCGAARSCMAUWGGCCUWGGGCAAGUCUGGCUGGGUGUCACACAAAG
Molecule: ribosomal RNA, 166 nt
Filed under: Afzelia bipindensis
Lineage: Eukaryota; Viridiplantae; Streptophyta; Magnoliopsida; Fabales; Fabaceae
Description: 5.8S ribosomal RNA
Rfam family: 5.8S ribosomal RNA
About the family: 5.8S ribosomal RNA (5.8S rRNA) is a component of the large subunit of the eukaryotic ribosome. It is transcribed by RNA polymerase I as part of the 45S precursor that also contains 18S and 28S rRNA.
Source: RNAcentral